This 349-nucleotide ribosomal RNA is filed under the name uncultured bacterium. Its description in RNAcentral is "partial 16S ribosomal RNA". It matches the Rfam family "Bacterial small subunit ribosomal RNA", at positions 338 to 684 of the family's 1533-position model. The record is from RNAcentral.
CCUACGGGUGGCAGCAGUGAGGAAUAUUGGUCAAUGGGCGAGAGCCUGAACCAGCCAAGUCGCGUGAAGGAUGACGGCCCUACGGGUUGUAAACUUCUUUUGUCAGGGAGCAAUUGGUUCCACGCGUGGGCUUAGCGGGAGUACCUGAAGAAAAAGCAUCGGCUAACUCCGUGCCAGCAGCGCCGGUAAUACGGAGGAUGCGAGCGUUAUCCGGAUUUAUUGGGUUUAAAGGGUCCGUAGGAGGAAUAUCAAGUCAGCGGUAAAAAUUCGGGGCUCAACCCCGUCGCGCCGUUGAAACUGGUUUUCUUGAGUGAGCGAGAAGUAUGCGGAAUGCGUGGUGUAGCGGUGA